AUGGCCCGGGCGGGGAAGGCGCUGCGGGACCCCGAGGGAAGGGCGGGGAGACCCAGCCCGGCCCCAGCCGGGAUCACCCCGUCUCUCCGCGGCGCUGCGCCUCCCCGCCCCGUGCCUUCAUCCCACCCCAUCCCACCCGAGGGGAUCUCCUCUCAGCCCUCCCCUUCUCUCCCUGCCGCGUCCUCCCUUGCUUUUUUUUUUUUUCUUUUCCCUUUUUCCAUCCCCUCCCCCGCCCGGGAAGACCCGGCAGCUCCCCCCCGCCCCGUCCUCAGUAGCCGCGGGUGCUCGGCGGCGGCGGGUGCCGGGGCCGGGGUCGGCGGGGCAGGACAGGGCAGGACAGGACAGGACAGGGCAGGGGGUCUCUCACAGCCUGGAGGUGGCCGCUUCCCCUCCCCUGGGCUCCAUCGGAGCCAGAUUCGUCACCGCUGGGAGCAGAUUUAUCUCGGAAUCGCAAGAGAGCUGUGCCAAGGUAUUUAACUUUCAGGCUCGGGAGAGAGGGAACUCCUUUGGAUCAGCCACAGCAAGGCAGAGCCUCCCGCGGUCACGCCUGAAAGCAGGACCAGAGGAUGGCUAAGGAGCUUUAGCGACUGGGAGCCUUCCCCUCCAGAUCCUCGGCUUCUCCCAGGAAAACACCGGACUUCCAAGCGCUUGAUGCACACAAACGGUGAGCAGAAGCGGAGCGGGCGAUGAAAAAGCAAAGACCCAGCGACCUCCUUUUUUUUUUUUUUUUUUUCUUUUUUGCCCCCUCAAUCUCUGUUUCUCUGCUGAUGUCCCCCCAGGGCAUCAGGCUCGGGCAGAGCAGCCGGGGACGGGGACCCAGGGCAAGUUCAGACCCGGCAGCCGCUCAGCUUGUCCCGGACCGCAGCGGGAUGAGGCUGUGUGGUUGGGGAUUUUCCCUCUUCGGCCCCCUCCCCAAACCUGGCAGGGGAAGAGGGCGCAGCCCCGGGCAGAGAGGAGCGGGGACUGCCUGGUGGCGAGCCCAAUGGCUGGGAGAGGCUCCCGGAGAGGGCUGAGCAGGGUUGCAAAGAAAGUUGCAAAGCGCUCGUGCUCUGCCGCUUGGCCCCGAAAGGAGCCGUGCCGGUCUGAGCCCAGCCCUGCCGAGCUCUGCCAGUCCGAGAAGUACCGAGCCGUGCCGUGCCGGUUUGAGCCCAGCCGAGCCGUGCUGUGCUGAGCCGGUCCGAGCCGUGCUGAGCCGUGCUAAGCCGAGCCGUGCCGAGCCGUGCCGCUGUCCGGGCGCGCCACCCAGCGGCUGCCGACACUUGGGUGUCCGGGGGUUCUCCCUGCCCCCGUGGGGAAACAGAAAUCAUUUUUAUUUAUUUUUUUUUUCCAUUUAUUUUCUCUUAUUUUAUUUCUUUUUUAUUGUUAUUAUUUAAAUUUCCUUUCCUUUUUUUUUUUUUCUUUGGUGUAAUUUCAGGAACUCACAAGAGUUUUCAAAAAGCCUUGUAAAAUUUGUUCUUCUUAUGCCUACUGAAGCAGCUUAAAUUUUGUAAGAGCCAGGAGUCGCUGUGUUUUUUUUAUUUUUUUUCUCUCCAUAAGCCGGAGUGCAGGAUGAAAUCUGUGCACUGACAUCCAGAGGAGUGAAGGGAGCAGUGGUGGAUAGGGUUAGGGUGAUGGCUUCUUGUAGGGAGUAUGAGAUUUCCAAAAAUGUCCUCCCUUUUGCUUUGUCAGUGCUGAGCUGUCAAUUCCAGCUUUCAGACCAUUUAAAGAACAAGGCCAAAAGCAGUUAAGGAGCUGGGUAGUGUUUCAGCUUAUCAUAUUUUGUGGUCUGAGAACUGCAUCUGAAUUUAUGCAAGUCUAAUGUGAAUUGUGCUGACUUUCCUACAAGCCCAAGCUGUUCUGAACAAAACAAGAUAAAACACCAUGAGGCAGUAGGACAAAACUUUUCUUCUGUUUGAGCUAUACUGACAAAUAAAUUCAGCCUGGGGUAGCCUGAAGAGAAGCAUAGUCCAGGACUGCUUGUCUACAAACCUUCUGAUCAUUUGAAGUGCAUUCUUCUGGAGUUAUAUAGGUCAUACAGACAAGAUAUUUGAAUGAUAUCCUGAAAAGGUAGAACACAGGUAUGUUUCAUAAGUGCAGAAAGGGUUAAUGAUAGAAAGAGGACGUGAGAAGAGCUGAAAAUGCCUUUACAUGUAUGCAUGGCAGCUGGAAUGAGGACGGAGUCCUUGCACUUAUCCACUGGGCUUGGAAAUCAGGGGGAAAGUAUCAAAAUUUUCACAGCACCAAGACACUCUCUUUCAUUUUCUGGUUUUUAUCUUCUUCUGUCUUCUCUGAAGCAAUUCAUCCUGUCAUAAAGGCAGAGCUGACUGAAGGCUUCUAAUUACUGUAAGCCAACCCAAAAUUUAUAUGGGAAAGGAGCAAAGAAAAAGAAAGGGCAGAGCCUGGGGUUUGGAGGAAGAGCAAAGAACAGCGUGGCAGAAAGUGAGAGUAAGAUUUUGGGGAUCUAUUUGUCCUCCCAGCUUAUAGCCUUAUUCCCUCUCCCCUUCUCUCACCAUGCAGUCAUGUCUUUGCAGCCAUCUACACAAUUCCAUCCUUGCUACCUGGCAAGAGAAAUCCCUGCGUUCCCCCCUGUGCCAACAGCCUGUGCUGGCCAUGGCAACUGUUCUCUUUUCCUGUGUUUGAUGUUGUCCUUGCUUAAGCAAUAGAGUUCUGGUUAGUAAACAGACCUUGAGUGCCUGGCUGUAAAUGACAAUGCUGCCUACUGGGACCACUCUGCCCUGUAAUGAAAAUUACCAUUUUCAUCAAGCUCCUUGGCUUGGACUUCUUCCAGUUCUACUGAAGCAUAGUUGCCCAUUUAGUUCAUUACAAAAAACAAGUAGCUCAUUAUAAAUGAUGGAAACCAUGGUGUCCAAGACUGUCUUUAUAAGUACUGAGCACUUGAGUAUAGUGUUUCAAACAGGAGGCUCUGAUGCAUCUAUUCAGGGUUGUGUGUUUUGUUUUGUUUUAUUCUUUUUAAAGAGUGGCUGAAAGGAGGCACAGUACUUACCCAUUUGCUUGUAGGAUGUCCCUGUGCAAAGCAAAUUUCGUUAUGAAUCCAGCUGGGAAGGCUUCAGCCAUCUCAGUGAAAUGACAUCAACCGAGGCACUUCUAAGACUUUCUGUAUGAACUAGCAGUUAGUGAAUUAACUUUCCUUAGUGCUCACAAAAUUCAGCUACAGAAAACUAUCAAACACCCAGACCCUGAAGAAGAGCUGAGAACGGGAGGAGCAUUUUAGGAAGAGAACCUAGAAAAGGCAUUCUCAAGCCCAAUGGAAGCAGCGAGUUUCUUCAUACCUUGUAUCUCUUCAACAGCUAUGUUAGGACAAAGCAUAUUAAAAUCAGAAUUUCCACAUUAAUAUCACAUGAUUUACCAUCAAGUCAUGUUAGCCUCUGACAGGCUCAAUGUGAAGAAAAGGAGAUGCUUUCUAAUGCAAGUAGUUAAGCAGUGGAAAUCUUCGAUGGAGAACAAUGUGGAUACAAGAUGUGCAUUUUUGCAAUACCAAUAAACUAGACUGGUAUGGCCAAGUGGUGUCUCCCUGCAAAAUCUUGCUACUGGGAUGACUGCUCUGCUUUCAAAAUCCUCAAAUAUCUUUCAGUAUGAUUACAUGCACCCCAGAGCUUAGGCCUGUGAGUCACUGUAGUUUCCAGAUGUCUUACAAAAGUUCACACAUCUUCUCCAAAACCUGAGUUGGCUACUUUAAAGCCAGGCUAAUUAUAUAUAUGGUAUUGUAAAAUGUGUUUCAAGUAUAUCCAAGUAAGUAAACUCCAGGUCAAAGUCAGUGUUCCAUGCAGGCUAAGGUGAAAAGCAUCAAAAGCUACACCAACACAAAACUGUCCCCUGAAUUUGGCUUUAGAAUCAACAAGCUGCAUUUGAGCCAUAGCGCAUAGUUAGCUAAAAAGUGAUAGCUGUUACCUCUCACAGGCAAGAACUAUGUCUACAUGGUGUAGAUGCCUCAAAAUUAUAGUUGUUGGUCCAUUGUUUGGCUUUUAAAGUGAUGUUACCACUUCUUUUUCCAUGUUACACACAUGCUCCUCUGUUUUUUUCAUGCUGUAUCUUUAGCUAGCCUGUAACCAGGUUAUUUCACUGUGUGGGGCUACUCAUUCUAAACAAAGCUCAAGAAAAUGCAAGAGGUUGUCUUUGCCCUGAUUUAUACUCCCAUCACAAUGUAAACCAGAAAGCUUAACCACAUACAUACCCUUGAAUUGCUUGGCUUUUAAAGUUUAAUCAUAGGCUCUUUCUUUCUACACAGCUGAGGUUUCCAUGUAAUUGGAAUAAAGGAUAUGAGAAUGGAGUGCAGCUUUCCCGAUGGCAGCGGUUAGUAGCUGGUUAAUGCCACUGAUAGCACUGCUGCCAAAGGAGAAAAAUGGUAUUUUCAGUAAUGUUUUGAGCUCAAAAUCAAGAGUUCUGAGUUCGGUUUCUGGCUCUGCCACAGACUUCUAACAAUUUCACAUUCUUUUUGCAUGUUUCCCAGCUACAGAUGAGAAUAAUAUGUUUUGUUUUGUUUUUGUCUUUCUGAUUUAAAGUGUUAGCUCUUUGUGUGGUGUGUCACCCUAUCUAGGUGGGCCUAUGUGACCAUAAUCUAGGUGGUCACAUGUGACCAUAAGACACAGACAGUAGAUUUUCUGCAGACUUUGUGGGAUCCUGCAGGAAAAAGGCAUGCCAUGAGUCAGCAGACUUCUCCCUCCUACUUGGCUGGGCUUUCCUCUGUGUAUAUAUUGCAUGAUUGUGUUUUUAAGAUACUGAGAUAAUUGCAUGUAUUUCAACUGCAUAUUUUCAAAUCUCUCUGUCUUGU
Molecule: long non-coding RNA, 4768 nt
Filed under: Anas zonorhyncha (Eastern spot-billed duck)
Lineage: Eukaryota; Metazoa; Chordata; Aves; Anseriformes; Anatidae
Description: lncRNA (ENSAZOG00000003244.1)
Source: RNAcentral